CGUGCUUAAUACAUGCAAGUCAACUUGACUUUAGAUAGCAAUAUCGAAAGUAGGGUGGCGCACGGGUGCGUAACGCGUAGGUAAUCUGCCCUGAGGUCUGACAUAACCCGUCGAAAGGCGGGCUAACAUCAGAUGAUAUAUAAUCACGACAUCGUGGAAAUAUCAAAUCUUCGGAGCCUUGGGAUGAGCCUGCGUCUGAUUAGGUAGUUGGCGGAGUAAUAGCCCACCAAGCCUACGAUCAGUAGCUGGUCUGAGAGGAUGAUCAGCCACACUGGAACUGAGACACGGUCCAGACUCCUACGGGAGGCAGCAGUAAGGAAUAUUGCUCAAUGGGGGGAAACCCUGAAGCAGCAACGCCGCGUGAAGGAUGAAAUACUUUGUAUGUAAACUUCUGUAAGAUGGGAAAAAUAUUCUCCUCGGGAGAAUUGAUUGUACCAUCAGAGUAAGCCCCGGCUAACUACGUG
Molecule: ribosomal RNA, 464 nt
Filed under: uncultured bacterium
Lineage: Bacteria
Description: bacterial SSU rRNA
Rfam family: Bacterial small subunit ribosomal RNA
Source: RNAcentral